This is a long non-coding RNA of Syngnathus typhle (broad-nosed pipefish), 1136 nucleotides long. RefSeq lists it as uncharacterized. Lineage: Eukaryota; Metazoa; Chordata; Actinopteri; Syngnathiformes; Syngnathidae. The transcript has 4 exons. The record is from RefSeq and is a predicted model, not a curated record.
UUAUCAUAUAAAUAUCAUAUAAAAAUGAUGACUUUAAUAAUCAUUAUGUCAUAAUGACUUACCAUGGCAUUAUUUUUAUUCCAUUUUUUCCGUUUUCUUUUUCACUGGCGGGUAUGGGGUGACAUGGGCUGACAUGAAUUCAUCCAAUGAGGAUCGAGUGUGUUCAACGGUCCUGCUUUGAAUGGCCAAUCACGUCAAAGUGAACGGGACAAAUCGCAAUCACAGCGCUUGCAUCUCUGGCUCCGACAACAACUUUUCUCAUAAGACCUUGUCUUGUAUUGUGUGUUUUUUUGUUGUCUUUCUAUGUGUUUGCGUCGUCUGUGUUCAUUUGUUUCACUUUGGCUGCGAAAACGGCACCGAGAGAGCGCUGUUUUUCGAUCGCGAGAGAGAGGGCAGACAGAGCUAGCUACUGGUAACGUUAACUGUUAGCUAGCUUGUGAUAGCAGUAACUUUAACUGACCAGAUUCUCUUUUUUUUAAACUUACUGAAGCCACAAAAUGGUAUAUGACACAUGUAGUACUUGCUGCGACAGUACGAUGGUCGUUACUGUGUCGUUAUUUUAUAUUUUUAUGCUGCGCAAGAGAAGAGUAUUUUCCCGCCUUUCUGUUUUUCAACACCUUCUCCGCCUCCGUAUGCGUUUUCCUUCCGGAGGCAGCACCACCAAGCACACGUCGCGACGUCCAGAAACUCGGAGAGACAAUCCUGACUGCAAAAAAAUGGAUGCUGUCGAUCGAGGGGAGGGUCAUAAUCCCACCUGCUGCUCACGUGGCUGACUUCACCACUGCCUUGGCUGGCCACUCUCUUCGCCUGUUACUAUGUUUUCAACCUAGAGUAUCAGGGGGAAACCUGCACAACUUUGGAGUUUAUUCAGAGGAUUAAUCCUGACUCCACCAAGUGCAGUGCCAAGGAGCAGAUGAGCCGGAAGACUGGGAGAGUGGUGAGGAGGAAGACUUGAUACAUGAACCCCCAUGUGAUCUCCUUCAUCAUGGAGUUCAUGAAGGCUUCACUUCAUGGAGGCUAACUGACUAGAUACAGGGCUCCUGUUUUGUCCAAGCCCAAGGAAGUUUUGUCUAAAAGGUUUGGUAAUGUGCUUUAUGUUCCUGUUCACAAAAAAAUAAAUAACCCUGUUAACAAAU